UACGGAGGGCGCGAGCGUUAAUCGGAAUUACUGGGCGUAAAGCGUGCGUAGGCUGUUUGGUAAGUCAGGCGUGAAAGCCCUCGGCUCAACCGAGGAACUGCGUUUGAUACUGCCGGACUCGAGUCCCGGAGAGGGUGGCGGAAUUCCAGGUGUAGGAGUGAAAUCCGUAGAUAUCUGGAGGAACACCGGUGGCGAAGGCGGCCACCUGGACGGGUACUGACGCUGAGGCACGAAAGCGUGGGGAG
RNAcentral lists this ribosomal RNA (245 nucleotides) under uncultured bacterium. Its description in RNAcentral is "partial 16S ribosomal RNA". It matches the Rfam family "Bacterial small subunit ribosomal RNA", at positions 524 to 768 of the family's 1533-position model. The record is from RNAcentral.